Molecule: long non-coding RNA, 701 nt
Organism: Centruroides sculpturatus (bark scorpion)
Lineage: Eukaryota; Metazoa; Arthropoda; Arachnida; Scorpiones; Buthidae
Exons: 3
Source: RefSeq, a predicted model, not a curated record
UUUAUUUAUUAAUGUAGCUAUUUUCUAAAUAGUCGAGUUUAAUAUGUAGCAGAUAUACGUAUAUAGGGUGGCCCAAAAUUGAAUUAACCGUGUCAUAUCAAACGAGUGAAAGUGCGCGUGUGCUUAACAGAUUAAAAUGUCAUUCUGAUUAAACAUUAUAUGUAAAGUGUUUAUAUAAGACGGCAGUUUAACUGUGUAGUAAUGAAACGACAAAUAACCUGUAUAAACCGAAUAACAACUGAACUGAUGGACUUUUAUGGGAAACUACCCCUAUUUAGGUGCUAGAUAUAUAAUAUAAACGAUGAAAACUCCACCUGUCUAUUUUGUUAGUGAGGUUCGAACCCGCGACGAAGGUGCUUCUGUUAAACUACAAUAAUUACGUGGAAAUGGCUGAAUAAUUUUACUGUACAUAAAGUAAAGCACGGAACUCAGUAAGGUGGAACGAAUUCAAGUUAAUUUAAUAGUUCAGUCCUACAGUCAGUGUGAAUUUGCUGAAGAAUUUAACAUGCUUCAUAGAGACCACGAUGUGUAAGUUUGAUUUCAGAAUAAAAACGUUUUCAGGUACCUUUCACUGGUUGCGGAUUCUCACCAGAACCGUCUAAUCGUUCGUAAUUGUAAAUGUUCGAAGCAGAGUGCCACGCCAUGGACAUGAUGCCAGGUUAGCACGUUUCAGUUGAGGCCAUACCGUUCUUUUGUCUUUU